GGUUAAGCGACUAAGCGUACACGGUGGAUGCCCAGGCAGUCAGAGGCGAUGAAGGGCGUGCUAAUCUGCGAUAAGCGUCGGUAAGGUGAUAUGAACCGCAACAACCGACGAUACCCGAAUGGGGAAACCCAGUGCAAUCCGUUGCACUAUCAUGUCAUGAAUACAUAGUGGCAUGAGGCGAACCGGGGGAACUGAAACAUCUAAGUACCCCGAGGAAAAGAAAUCAACCGAGAUUCCCCCAGUAGCGGCGAGCGAACGGGGAACAGCCCAGAACCUGAAUCAGUUUGUGCCUUAGUGGAAGCGUCUGGAAAGUCGCGCAGUAAAGGGUGACAGCCCCGUACACAAAAAGGCACUUGCUGUGAGUUCGAUGAGUAGGGCGGGACACGUGACAUCCUGUCUGAAUAUGGGGGGACCAUCCUCCAAGGCUAAAUACUCCUGACUGACCGAUAGUGAACCAGUACCGUGAGGGAAAGGCGAAAAGAACCCCGGCGAGGGGAGUGAAACAGAACCUGAAACCGUGUACGUACAAGCAGUGGGAGCACCUUCGUGGUGUGACUGCGUACCUUUUGUAUAAUGGGUCAGCGACUUAUAUUCUGUAGCAAGGUUAACCGUAUAGGGGAGCCGCAGGGAAACCGAGUCUUAACUGGGCGUUAAGUUGCAGGGUAUAGACCCGAAACCCGGUGAUCUAGCCAUGGGCAGGUUGAAGGUUGGGUAACACUAACUGGAGGACCGAACCGACUAAUGUUGAAAAAUUAGCGGAUGACCUGUGGCUGGGGGUGAAAGGCCAAUCAAACCGGGAGAUAGCUGGUUCUCCCCGAAAGCUAUUUAGGUAGCGCCUCGUGAAUUCAUCUCCGGGGGUAGAGCACUGUUUCGGCUAGGGGCCAUCCCGGCUUACCAACCCGAUGCAAACUGCGAAUACCGGAGAAUGUUAUCACGGGAGACACACGGCGGGUGCUAACGUCCGUCGUGAAGAGGGAAACAACCCAGACCGCCAGCUAAGGUCCCAAAGUCAUGGUUAAGUGGGAAACGAUGUGGGAAGGCACAGACAGCCAGGAUGUUGGCUUAGAAGCAGCCAUCAUUUAAAGAAAGCGUAAUAGCUCACUGGUCGAGUCGGCCUGCGCGGAAGAUGUAACGGGGCUAAACCAUGCACCGAAGCUGCGGCAGCGGACGUAUCACCCAAGCAGAUUCACUGAAGUGGAUAACGAUUGACGGAGCGCAGCGACGUCAAUGCGCCAUCAAAGUCGAGUCGACUUCGGGAUACGUCCGUUGGGUAGGGGAGCGUUCUGUAAGCCGUCGAAGGUGUGCUGUGAGGCAUGCUGGAGGUAUCAGAAGUGCGAAUGCUGACAUAAGUAACGAUAAAGCGGGUGAAAAGCCCGCUCGCCGGAAGACCAAGGGUUCCUGUCCAACGUUAAUCGGGGCAGGGUGAGUCGACCCCUAAGGCGAGGCCGAAAGGCGUAGUCGAUGGGAAACGGGUUAAUAUUCCCGUACUGGGUGUUACUGCGAAGGGGGGACGGAGAAGGCUAUGUUAGCCGGGCGACGGUUGUCCCGGUUUAAGCGUGCAGGCUUGAGUUCCAGGCAAAUCCGGAACUCUUUAAGGCUGAGGCGUGAUGACGAGGCACCACGGUGCUGAAGUAACAAAUGCCCUGCUUCCAGGAAAAGCCUCUAAGCAUCAGGUAACAUCCAAUCGUACCCCAAACCGACACAGGUGGUCAGGUAGAGAAUACCAAGGCGCUUGAGAGAACUCGGGUGAAGGAACUAGGCAAAAUGGUGCCGUAACUUCGGGAGAAGGCACGCUGGCGCGUAGGUGAAGCGACUUGCUCGUGGAGCUGAAGCCAGUCGAAGAUACCAGCUGGCUGCAACUGUUUAUUAAAAACACAGCACUGUGCAAACACGAAAGUGGACGUAUACGGUGUGACGCCUGCCCGGUGCCGGAAGGUUAAUUGAUGGGGUUAUCCGUAAGGAGAAGCUCUUGAUCGAAGCCCCGGUAAACGGCGGCCGUAACUAUAACGGUCCUAAGGUAGCGAAAUUCCUUGUCGGGUAAGUUCCGACCUGCACGAAUGGCGUAAUGAUGGCCAGGCUGUCUCCACCCGAGACUCAGUGAAAUUGAACUCGCUGUGAAGAUGCAGUGUACCCGCGGCAAGACGGAAAGACCCCGUGAACCUUUACUACAGCUUGACACUGAACAUUGAGCCUUGAUGUGUAGGAUAGGUGGGAGGCUUUGAAGCGUGGACGCCAGUCUGCGUGGAGCCAACCUUGAAAUACCACCCUUUAACGUUUGAUGUUCUAACCUGGCGCCGUAAUCCGGCGUGGGGACAGUGUCUGGUGGGUAGUUUGACUGGGGCGGUCUCCUCCCAAAGAGUAACGGAGGAGCACGAAGGUCAGCUAAUCACGGUCGGACAUCGUGAGGUUAGUGCAAUGGCAUAAGCUGGCUUGACUGCGAGAGUGACGGCUCGAGCAGGUGCGAAAGCAGGUCAUAGUGAUCCGGUGGUUCUGAAUGGAAGGGCCAUCGCUCAACGGAUAAAAGGUACUCCGGGGAUAACAGGCUGAUACCGCCCAAGAGUUCAUAUCGACGGCGGUGUUUGGCACCUCGAUGUCGGCUCAUCACAUCCUGGGGCUGAAGUAGGUCCCAAGGGUACGGCUGUUCGCCGUUUAAAGUGGUACGCGAGCUGGGUUUAGAACGUCGUGAGACAGUUCGGUCCCUAUCUGCCGUGGGCGCUGGAAGAUUGAGAGGGGUUGCUCCUAGUACGAGAGGACCGGAGUGAACGCACCGCUGGUGUUCGGGUUGUCAUGCCAAUGGCAUUGCCCGGUAGCUAAGUGCGGAAAAGAUAAGCGCUGAAAGCAUCUAAGCGCGAAACUUGCCUCGAGAUGAAUCUUCCCUGACUCCUUGAGAGUCCUGAAGGGACGUUGAAGACGACGACGUUGAUAGGCCGGGUGUGUAAGCGCAGCGAUGCGUUGAGCUAACCGGUACUAAUGACCCGUGAGGCUUAACCUU
This 2992-nucleotide ribosomal RNA is filed under the name Erwinia amylovora. RNAcentral describes it as "23S ribosomal RNA". It matches the Rfam family "Bacterial large subunit ribosomal RNA". Lineage: Bacteria; Pseudomonadati; Pseudomonadota; Gammaproteobacteria; Enterobacterales; Erwiniaceae. The record is from RNAcentral.